RNAcentral lists this ribosomal RNA (497 nucleotides) under uncultured bacterium. RNAcentral's name for it is "partial 16S ribosomal RNA". It matches the Rfam family "Bacterial small subunit ribosomal RNA", at positions 28 to 507 of the family's 1533-position model. The record is from RNAcentral.
GAUGAACGCUGGCGGCGUGCCUAAUACAUGCAAGUCGAGCGAACGGACGAGAAGCUUGCUUCUCUGAUGUUAGCGGCGGACGGGUGAGUAACACGUGGAUAACCUACCUAUAAGACUGGGAUAACUUCGGGAAACCGGAGCUAAUACCGGAUAAUAUUUUGAACCGCAUGGUUCAAAAGUGAAAGACGGUCUUGCUGUCACUUAUAGAUGGAUCCGCGCUGCAUUAGCUAGUUGGUAAGGUAACGGCUUACCAAGGCAACGAUGCAUAGCCGACCUGAGAGGGUUAUCGGCCACACUGGAACUGAGACACGGUCCAGACUCCUACGGGAGGCAGCAGUAGGGAAUCUUCCGCAAUGGGCGAAAGCCUGACGGAGCAACGCCGCGUGAGUGAUGAAGGUCUUCGGAUCGUAAAACUCUGUUAUUAGUGAAGAACAUAUGUGUAAGUAACUGUGCACAUCUUGACGGUACCUAAUCAGAAAGCCACGGCUAACUACGUG